AAUAUGGUCAAGCUACAAGGGUGUAUGGUGAAUGCCUUGGUGCCAGAAGUCGAUGAAAGACGUGAUAAGCUGCGAUAAGCCGCGGGUAGGAGCAAAUAUCCUGUGAUCCGCGGAUUUCUGAAUGGGGGAACCCCUGCAGGUGAGAGCUUGCAGAUCAUCACUUAAAGACCGAGUCUUCGGACUCGGAGGUAGGGUGAUAGAAGACAACGUAGGGAAGUGAAACAUCUCAGUACCUACAGGAAAAGAAAUCAAAGAGAUUCCCUGAGUAGUGGCGAGCGAAACGGGAAUAGCCUAAACCAGCCCCCGCACUGUAUGCAUCAGUGUGGUGCAUAGAGUGCGUGGGUUGGGGUUGCAGGGCUUGCUCGUGUUAGACACAAAGAGUUACCAAGCAACAGGUUAGUUGAACGGUCUGGAAAGUCCGACCAUAGAGGGUGACAGUCCCUUAAACGAAAACCUAGUUGUCUCUUAGCAAGUACCUAAGUACCACUGGUCACGUGCAAUCCGGUGGGAAUCCGGGGAGACCACUCUCCAAGGCUAAAUACUCUCUGGCAACCGAUAGUGAACCAGUACCGCGAGGGAAAGGCGAAAAGAACCCCGAGAGGGGAGUGAAAUAGAACCUGAAACCGUACAUCUACAAGCUGUCGUAGCACUAUGAUACACUUCGGUGUAUAAUGUGCGACGGCGUGCCUGUUGAAGAAUGAUCCAGCGAGUUAAUGUGCCGAGCAAGGUUAAGGGGUGAAGAGCUCCGCAGCCGUAGUGAAAGCGAGCCCGAACAGGGCGAUUAGUUCGUCAUAUUAGACCCGAAGCCAAGUGAUCUAACCCUGUCCAGGAUGAAGUUCUCGUAACAGAGAAUGGAGGUCCGGAGUGUUAAACGUUGAAAAGUUUCUACAUGAGGUGGGGUUAGGGGUGAAAGGCCAAUCGAACUUGGUGAUAGCUGGUUCUCCCCGAAAUAGCUUUAGGGCUAGCGUUGAAAUUUAACCCGAGGGGGUAAAGCACUGGUAGAUUUAGGGGGAGCGACCCUCCUUCCGAUGUCUGUCAAACUCUGAAUACCUCGGCGAAUAUUUCAGCAGUCAGUUCGUGAGGGAUAAGCUUCACGUGCGAGAGGGAAACAGCCCAGACCGUCAAUUUAGGUCCCAAAAUGUAUGCUAAGUGGUAAAGGAUGUGGAUUUACUUAAACAGCUAGGAGGUUGGCUUAGAAGCAGCCACCCUUUGAAGAGUGCGUAAUAGCUCACUAGUCGAGUGAAUCUGCGCCGAAGAUGACUCGGGGCUAAGCAUACUACCGAAAUUACGGAUUGUACAUUGAUUCGUCUUUGUACAGUGGUAGGGGAGCGUUAUUAGCUGCUGCGAAGGUAUACCGUAAGGAGUGCUGGAGCGCUAAUAAGUGAGAAUGCUGGAAUGAGUAGCGACAAGGAAGGUGAGAAUCCUUCCCGCCGAAAAUCUAAGGUUUCCUUGAGCAACGUUCGUCGGCUCAGGGUCAGUCGGGCCUAAGCUCAGGCCGAAAGGCGUAGGCGAAGGACAUCAGGUUAAUAUUCCUGAACUAUAGUAAGCGCGUCAUAACCUAGGGAGGGACGCAGGAGAGUAAACCAUCUGGCUAUAUGCCAGUUCAAGGCCGUAGGCAUCUUCGGAUAGGCAAAUCCGUCCGGAGGCUAAGUCGAAAACCGAGUACGAGUGAUCGCAAGAUCGCGAAGUGGUCCAAUCACGCUGCCUAGAAAAACUUCGUAGGGAGUUCUUACUAUAACCGUACCGUAAACCGACACAGGUGGAUGGGGUGAAAAUCCUAAGGCGCGCGAGAUAACCAUCGUCAAGGAACUAGGCAAACUAGCUCCGUAACUUCGGAAGAAGGAGUGCCCGAGUACUGGUGCAGCAAUGUAUUGGGAAAGGGUCGCAGUGAAUUGGGCUUCGUGACUGUUUAACAAAAACUUAGGGCUCUGCUGAAAUCUCAAGAUGAUGUAUAGGGCCUGAUGCCUGCCCGGUGCCGGAAGGUCAAGGGGAGUGGUUAGCCGCAAGGCGAAGCUGCGAACUUAAGCCCCGGUAAACGGCGGCGGUAACUAUAACCGUCCUAAGGUAGCGAAAUUCCUUGUCGGGUAAGUUCCGACCUGCACGAAUGGCAUAACAAAGAAGCCGCUGUCUCGACGGUGGGCUCGGCGAAAUUGUGGUUCAAGUGAAGACGCUUGAUGCAUGCAACAAGACGAAAAGACCCUAUGGAGCUUUACUGUAGCUUGUUAUUGGAUUACGGUUUACAUUACGUAGGAUAGCUGGGAGUCUUUGAAACGUUCCUUGAGGGGGGCGUGGAGACAACGGUGAAAUACCAGCUUUUGUGGAUUGUGAUUCUAACCUAUUACCCGUGAAUCCGGGUUGGGGACAGUGGCAGGUGGGCAGUUUGACUGGGGCGGUCGCCUCCUAAAGAGUAACGGAGGCGUUCUAAGGUUCCUUCAGGCCGUAUAGAAAUCGGCCAUUGAGCGCAAAGGUAGAAAGGAGCUUGACUGUGAGGACGACGGUCCGAACAGGUGCGAAAGCAGGACUUAGUGAUCCGGUGGUCCCUCGUGGGAGGGCCAUCGCUCAACGGACAAAAGCUACCCUGGGGAUAACAGGCUGAUCGGGCCCAAGAGUUCACAUCGACGGCUCGGUUUGGCACCUCGAUGUCGGCUCAUCACAUCCUCCCGCUGAAGCAGGUGGGAAGGGUUGGGCUGUUCGCCCAUUAAAGUGGUACGUGAGCUGGGUUCAGUACGUCGUGAGACAGUACGGUCUCUAUCUGUUGUAUGCGCAGGAAACUUGAGAGGAGUUGUCCAUAGUACGAGAGGGCCUGGAUGAACGAACCUCCUGUAUAUCAGUUGUUUCUACAGAAGCAUAGCUGAUUAGCGGUGUUCGGUAGGGAUAAACGCUGAAAGCAUAUAAGCGUGAAACCCGCCUCAAGAUAAGGUUUCCCUGGUAGAUUAACUACCCAGAAGACCCCCGGAAGACUACCGGGUUGAUAGGCAGAGUGUGUAAGCACAGCAAUGUGUUCAGCUAAUCUGUACUAAUAGGUCGUGAGGCUUGGCCAUAU
This is a ribosomal RNA of 3043 nucleotides. It matches the Rfam family "Bacterial large subunit ribosomal RNA".